RNAcentral lists this non-coding RNA (223 nucleotides) under Limosilactobacillus fermentum. Lineage: Bacteria; Bacillati; Bacillota; Bacilli; Lactobacillales; Lactobacillaceae. The record is from RNAcentral.
UAAAAAGCUGUGACGGAACUACUGUCGGAACUUCGUGAAAAAGAGAACUAGCGGCUGGUGGAAGCUAGGUACGAAACCCGAAUAAGUGAUCAUUCCCGAGCUACUAGCUGAACAAAGUAAGCUAAGUUGGUUACCACCCAUUAUCCUGGUCGCGAAUGAAAGUUCGUGCUAAGUGGCUCACUUUUGAGCAAGUAGGAUGGUACCACGUGAAAGCGCUCCUGCU